RNAcentral lists this transfer RNA (71 nucleotides) under Zoroaster ophiactis. Its description in RNAcentral is "tRNA-Trp". Lineage: Eukaryota; Metazoa; Echinodermata; Asteroidea; Forcipulatida; Zoroasteridae. The record is from RNAcentral.
UAGAGAUUUAGGUUAAUUAAACUGAAAGCCUUCAAAGCUUUUAAUGAGAAUGGAAAUUUUUCAGUCUUUAA